GGGGAAUAUUGGACAAUGGGGGGAACCCUGAUCCAGCCAUGCCGCGUGUGUGAAGAAGGCCUUAUGGUCGUAAAGCACUUUAAGCGAGGAGGAGGCUACUUUGGUUAAUACCUAAAGAUAGUGGACGUUACUCGCAGAAUAAGCACCGGCUAACUCUGUGCCAGCAGCCGCGGUAAUACAGAGGGUGCGAGCGUUAAUCGGAUUUACUGGGCGUAAAGCGUGCGUAGGCGGCUUUUUAAGUCGGAUGUGAAAUCCCCGGGCUUAACUUGGGAAUUGCAUUCGAUACUGGGAAGCUAGAGUAUGGGAGAGGAUGGUAGAAUUCCAGGUGUAGCGGUGAAAUGCGUAGAGAUCUGGAGGAAUACCGAUGGCGAAGGCAGCCAUCUGGCCUAAUACUGACGCUGAGGUACGAAAGCAUGGGGAGCAAAC
This 426-nucleotide ribosomal RNA is filed under the name uncultured bacterium. RNAcentral describes it as "bacterial SSU rRNA". It matches the Rfam family "Bacterial small subunit ribosomal RNA", at positions 356 to 773 of the family's 1533-position model. The record is from RNAcentral.